ACACACACACACACACACACACACACACACACACACACACACACACACACACACACAGCUAAUUUCCUGCAGUGGCAACUAGCGUAUAUCAUAACUUGGUGCUUGAUCAUAGAUGCUUUAGUUCAGAUGUAACAAGAUAUAUCAAUAUCUUUGGUAAGCAGUUUCCUACUCGAGUAUUUGCCUACCGUCUCAGAUAUAUUGUUGAUUUGAUUUAAGGCCAUUUAGAGGUUACAGCUAAUAUCACACAAACAGAUAAAAAAACAAACUGAACCAUACAGGCUUUCCCGCUGACUGAGGACGUGGAAGUCUUUUAAAAUGUACUUUCAUAAUUACUAUGAUUUACAUCACUUACAGUGAUUUUUCUUCUGACAUGCUCACUAAAAAAACACACAAAGCAAUCCAAGAAUGAUGCAGUCUCAUUGGCUGAUUAAGUUGCUCAUGCCAGCUGCAGCCAGUAUAGGGGCUUUCACAUAUAUGUCACAAAAUCAUAUUUUAAUAAUAAUAAUAAUAAUAAUAAUAAUAAUAAUAAUAAUAAAUUCAUGUUUCAAUAGUGUUAUUGUAUUGCUGUGUCUAGCACAAAGGUUAUCCGCUUGAAACUUACUGAUGUAGUGUUAAUUUAUAACUGCUCAGAUCUGAGGGUUUUAAUAAUAAUAUGUGGCAUUUUAUUACAGAUGCCACAGUGAGACAGUAACUUUAUAAAUUUAUGUGAAUACACUAAAUACAAUAUAUGAGUUAGCAAUGAUAAUAAUAAUAAUAAUAAUAAGAAGAAAAACAAGAUAUGACAUUGCUUUCCCUCUCAGUUGUUUACUUCAUCUAUUCAUUUAAUGUAGAUGAUUCGGACUCCACCUGAAGUCUGAUCUUUGUGUGGUCAGGUUUCAUUGCUGAUCCGUCAGGAGCUGGUUGAACGUGCUAAAAACUUCAACAUCAUUCUCAAUGAUGUGGCCCUCACAGAGCUGAGCUUCAGCAGAGAAUACACAGCAGCUGUAGAUGCCAAACAUGAAAAAAUCUAUGCAUAACUGCAGCUUUGUAUCAGCACAUUUAAUAAGAGAUGCAGUAUAAUAGCUUACAUUUAGAUUGAAGAUUUAGAUGGUGUCCUCUAGCCCAGCAGGAGUCACAGAGAGCUCAUUUCUUUGUGGAAAAAGCUAAGCAGGAUAAGAGGCAGAAGAUCAUCCAAGCUGAAGGAGAGGCCCAAGCAGCCAAAAUGUUAAGAGAUUCACAAAGAAUCCUGGAUAUCUCAAACUCAGGAGAAUCUGAGCAGCACAGUCGGUCGCUAAAACGAUUGCAUCCUCCCAGAACAGAAUAUAUCUGAAUGCAGACUCUCUAGUCCUGAAUCUCAAGGAUGAGUCAUUUAAUAAAUUGUCACUAAAUAAAAACAAGCAUGCUGCCAAGAGAACGGUUUCGUUCUGCCUCUGUGUGUUAGCGAUCGCGGGAUAAAAGCAGACCCAAAUGCAGUUAUAACAGAAAAGGGGUUUAUUAGAGAAAAAAUAACAAAGGGCAAGAAACACUAUACUCAGUCUGGAAACACAAAACACAGGAACAACAAACAGACAGCCAACCAAAGACAAGGACUCAGCAAAAAACAGACACAAGACAACAUGUAUAAAUAGGGGUGACAAUAAUUGAAACACAAGGAACAGGUGUGAAAGGGUGGGGAUAACACGCGUGAUACAAAAACAAACAGAAGCACAUGGCACAGACCCAAAAGCAACAAUGUCCCCCUAGAGUCCCUGACAGUGGUUCAAGUUUCUGUGGACUUUACUGAAAUCCUUUACACACAUCCUUGUCAGUACAGAUACAAGAAGAUUUGUUCAAUGAAGUUCUCUCAUGGUUAUUCAGCUGUAUAUUGCAGUUACUGUAUACUGUAUGCAACAGAGAGAUCUGUUAUUCUGAAUAUCUGUAAAUUUUAAUUCUCCUCACCCCUCUAUCCAUUGGCUGGUUGUUGCCAUCAGUGUAUUAUAGUAAUGUUACUAUGAUCUAAAUCCACCAAUGUUCUGGAAAAAAAACAAAAAAACAAUGUCUUUGCUGUAUAAAUGUGCGAAUAAGAUAUGAACGGACAGCAAAAUAAAACCUUUUGUGCUCAGAA
Molecule: long non-coding RNA, 2083 nt
Organism: Tachysurus fulvidraco (yellow catfish)
Lineage: Eukaryota; Metazoa; Chordata; Actinopteri; Siluriformes; Bagridae
Exons: 4
Source: RefSeq, a predicted model, not a curated record